RNAcentral lists this ribosomal RNA (478 nucleotides) under uncultured bacterium. RNAcentral's name for it is "SSU rRNA". It matches the Rfam family "Bacterial small subunit ribosomal RNA", at positions 26 to 518 of the family's 1533-position model. The record is from RNAcentral.
AGGACGAACGCUGGCGGCGUGCCUAACACAUGCAAGUGGAGCGACGAACCAGGCUUCGGCCUGGGGCAAAGCCGCGAACGGGUGAGUAACACGUGGGUUACCUGCCCCGAUGAUCGGGACAACUCGAGGAAACUCGAGCUAAUACCGUAUGUGCCCUUCGAUCAUAAGGUCGCUGGGGAAAGGAAGCUUCGGCCUCCGCAUCGGGAUGGGCCCGCGGCCCAUUAGCUUGUUGGUGAGGUAACGGCUCACCAAGGCAACGAUGGGUAGCUGGUCUGAGAGGACGAUCAGCCACACUGGGACUGAGACACGGCCCAGACUCCUACGGGAGGCAGCAGUGGGGAAUCUUGCGCAAUGGGCGAAAGCCUGACGCAGCCAUGCCGCGUGAAUGAUGAAGGUCUUAGGAUUGUAAAAUUCUUUCAGCGGGACGAUAAUGACGGUACCCGCAGAAGAAGCCCGGCUAACUCGUGCCAGCAGCCGC